RNAcentral lists this transfer RNA (65 nucleotides) under Leptocorisa costalis. RNAcentral's name for it is "tRNA-Ile". Lineage: Eukaryota; Metazoa; Arthropoda; Insecta; Hemiptera; Alydidae. The record is from RNAcentral.
AAUAAGGUGCCUGAAGUAAAAGGGCUAUCUUGAUAGGAUAGAUUAUACAGUAAUUGUUCUUAUUA